This 2676-nucleotide ribosomal RNA is filed under the name Triticum aestivum (bread wheat). RNAcentral's name for it is "partial small subunit ribosomal RNA". Lineage: Eukaryota; Viridiplantae; Streptophyta; Magnoliopsida; Poales; Poaceae. The record is from RNAcentral.
AUGUCCCUCCCGCCGCCCCUCUCUCCCCCGGCCAUGGCCGACGCCCCGCCGAGUUCCGGCGGCCUGGCCGUCGACCCGCCGAGUUCCGGCGGCCUGGCUGUCGACCCGCCCGCAAAGGUGAAGAAGAAGGCGCCAAGGAAGCCGUGGUCGAAGUGCACGCCGGAGAAGAUCGCCAAAUUGGACGCGGAAUCGGCGAAGAGGAGGGAACAGAGAGCGGUCGUCAAGGUCAAUGCCGCCGCGGCCAAGUUCGCCGCCCAGCGCGAGGAGCUGGAGGUCGCGCGGCGCAAGGCCGCUGCCGACGAGAAGGAGGACCUCGUCAAUAAAGCGCACGCCAUCCUGAUGCUUGGCAUGGGCCGUCCGGCCGGGUUCCCUGCAGCUGCCGUCGGCCCGGCGAGCAGAGGCUCGUCGGUCGCCCGGCCUACGCACUGCCAGUCGCUGACGUCGCGCGCCGCGCCCAUGUCGCCCGGCUUUCCUCCGCCAAGGCACGAUGACCAGACCCGUUUCUCGGCGUCGCCGGACCGGCGGCCGUCCGUCCGUCGAGAUGCAAAGAAAGCAGGCACGGGCACCAUGCCGGCCCCCCGCGUCUUGUUUGACGGAAUGCCAACCCCAACGCCAACGGUCGAUGACCCCUUCCACAACCAGUACAUGGAGGACGUGAUCUUUGAGGGUGGGCAUGGACGUGCCUACGACCCCGAGGAGACCCAAAGUCAGGAUGGCCACGCCGAGUACGUGCCCAAUGAAGAGGCCGACGACCGUGCUUACUACAACCAUGGUGACUCGUGGCAUGAAGAUGAUGACAUCUAUGUCGAAGGUGAUGAAGAAGAAGGCAAUGACGUUGAUAUUAGUGGCGAGCCAUUGUUCAUCGACGAGCUCACCCAAAGAGCGGAAGCACAAAAAAAGAGGAAGAGCAUUCGCACGGGCUCAUACACACAAGAUGAUGACAAGUUGAUUUGCCAAGCUUGGAUGGAGACUAGCCAAGAUCCGAGGACCGACGCGCAACAAAAGGGCAUUGUAUUUUGGACGAGAGUCCACAAAACAUUUCAUAAAAGGAAGAUGUUUGAGCCCUACCAAUUUACAAGCAAUCGUGGCAUUGGCUCGAUUCAAAAGAAAUGGUUGUUCAUCCAACAAGAGUGCAACAAGUAUUGCGCCGCAUUAGAGAGCGUUGAAGCACGGCCCAUGAGUGGUCUCGACGUUGGGGACAUGGCAUUUCAAUCUUUGGAGGCAUUCAAGGCCCGGCACAAUGACAAUCCAUUCACUCUUACGCAUUGUUGGACGAUUAUCAACAAUUGCCCUAAGUUCAAGGACCAAUACCAUGAACUACAAAGGAAGAGAGGACUAAAGACGGCCAAGUAUGCCGGAGGUGGAGAUGGCGAGGCCUUGAAGAAGCCGAGGGGCAAGACCAACUCCAAGGUUGAUGACAUACGUGAUGCCUCAUCCAUGGCAUUGCAUGACACUUUGCAUGACAUGAUGUCCCAAAAAGAUGUGAGGGACGAGAAGAAGCGACAAAGCAAGGAGAAGCAAAUGAAGCAAUACCUGAACCUUCAAACAAAGAAGCUUGAGAUGGAGGAGGCGGUCAAGAGGAGGAAGAUCGAAAUGAAGGAGGCGACCCGACAAAGACAGCUCGACAUCGAGGCCGACAACGUCAAGGCCAGGCAGAGGCAGCUCGACAUCGAGGUCACGAACGCCGCCACCAAAGCGAAGGAGGUGGCUCUUGCGAUCAUGAGCGUGGACUUGUCAAAGAUGAGCGACAAGACGAGGCCUGGUCGUGCGAUCGGCCGUGACCAUUCUUUUUGGAUGCUGGCAUGGGUGUCGCGUCCCCGCUGGGCCGCUGGCUGUGUGCCGGCGAGAAACAUUCAUUUUGGUGGCCGGCUGUAUUGCCGGCCGCUGCCUGCGUUGCCGGCGAGGACAAUUAUUCAUUUUGGAGGCUGGCUGUGUUGUCGGCCGCUGGCUGAUGCCGGCAAUGGACGUGACAUGUCCGGACACGAUCUUAAAUUUCAUCUCAAACGGACGAAAUUCGGACAAAGCGAUGGAGUUGGCCUGACUCCUCGAAAAAAAACACCUGCUCCCACGCGGGUCGCGAGGAGGCCAAACAAGUCUCUGCACCGGAGCAGGAACCGAGAGAGAGAGAGAGUCCACUGCCCGUCUGCGCCAAAGCCCCGCAUGGAGAUCCUCCAACAAGGUGAGAGUUCUCGCUCCUCUCCCCGCAGACAGCACCCCGGUGGUUUCAUUUUGUCGGUGGAUCCCUUCCCUUGGUUCCGGGGCUUCUUGGUUUUGAUCCGCUUAGCGCGUCCAUCCCUGCCUUCUUGCGAAUCUCGAUUCCAGGAAUGGAAUAGGCAGCAGAAUACGCGGAUCCCUGCAUCUGCCCCUUGCUCAACGGACGCCGCCCCAUCGCCGUCUCCCGAUUUCAGUGCCACCCCGUCGCCGUCUUCCCUAUUUCACCGCCGCCGGCUUCCGAUUUCGCUGCCGCCCGUGCACCAACAGCACGGUCGCCGUGGCCAAUAUGCACUGAUUCAGCUGUGCCCGCCGCUCACUCUCCAGGAGGCUGUGUUCGUCGCCGCUGGCAUCUGGAUGCGGUGGCCUGCUCUUGCUCUGUCUCUGCUCUUGGGGUUCCCUCGGCACCGCGCUCUGGUUUGCUGUGUGCGGCGACGGCGAUGGCAUGGGCGAAUUGGCAAUUAG